UACGUAGGGUGCGAGCGUUAAUCGGAUUUACUGGGCGUAAAGCGUGCGCAGGCGGCCCGUUAAGACAGGUGUGAAAUCCCUGGGCUCAACCUAGGAAUUGCGCUUGUGACUGGCGGGCUCGAGUACGGUAGAGGGGGGUGGAAUUCCUGGUGUAGCAGUGAAAUGCGUAGAGAUCAGGAGGAACACCGAUGGCGAAGGCAGCCCCCUGGGCCUGUACUGACACUGAGGCUCGAAAGCGUGGGUAGCAAACAGG
RNAcentral lists this ribosomal RNA (253 nucleotides) under uncultured microorganism. RNAcentral describes it as "partial 16S ribosomal RNA". It matches the Rfam family "Bacterial small subunit ribosomal RNA", at positions 524 to 776 of the family's 1533-position model. The record is from RNAcentral.